Molecule: long non-coding RNA, 608 nt
Organism: Spinacia oleracea (spinach)
Lineage: Eukaryota; Viridiplantae; Streptophyta; Magnoliopsida; Caryophyllales; Amaranthaceae
Exons: 3
Source: RefSeq, a predicted model, not a curated record
AGUAUUCAGCUAACCAUUAAAGAUGCUCUUAAAUUCUAUCCCCUUCUCUGAAUAUUUUUAUUCUUCCUCAAACUUAAAAACUUCUGUUUCUGCCUCCCUUCUCACUCCUCUUUUUACCCUCAGAAAUAUCGACAACAUUCAUCCUCAUCGGCGCCUGUGUCAGCGAUUUUGGUGCUGGGUAACCGACGCCGUCAACCAGGAUUGGAGUGUCGGUGAACUUGAAAUGGUUUCUUGAAGAAUUUGGAAGACCUGUUGUUUUUAUUUUAAUCUAAAUGCUGCUGAUUUCAAUCCGUCAUUUGAGUUGAGGAUGAAGUCGAAUUAACCACUCAAACAUCAAUUUUCUCACCAUUUCAAUCUAUCAAUUUUAUUCUUUUUAUUUUUUGAUCGAAGUAGUUUUUUUCUCUUUUUGGAAAGCAAAGAAUUGAACAUUUGUUAGACUUGAAACGAUGAUCAAGCGAGAAGAUUGUGUCCUUUCCUAGUGUGAUUGUGUUUUUUGUAAUUUAAUUUCAAUGUUAUAAGUACUCUGUAGUUGCUAAUCUUAAUGGUGGCAAAAACUUGUUCGUGUUUUGUACAAUCAGUUGAAAAUUAAUAAAGUUGAUUUAUUUUAA